AGUGAACGCUGGCGGUAGGCCUAACACAUGCAAGUCGAACGGCAGCACAGUAAGAGCUUGCUCUUACGGGUGGCGAGUGGCGGACGGGUGAGGAAUACAUCGGAAUCUACUUUUUCGUGGGGGAUAACGUAGGGAAACUUACGCUAAUACCGCAUACGACCUACGGGUGAAAGCAGGGGAUCUUCGGACCUUGCGCGAUUGAAUGAGCCGAUGUCGGAUUAGCUAGUUGGCGGGGUAAAGGCACACCAAGGCGACGAUCCGUAGCUGGUCUGAGAGGAUGAUCAGCCACACGGGAACUGAGACACGGUCCAGACUCCUACGGGAGGCAGCAGUGGGGAAUAUUGGACAAUGGGCGCAAGCCUGAUCCAGCCAUACCGCGUGGGUGGAGAAGGCCUGCGGGUUGUAAAGCCCUUUUGUUGGGAAAGAAAAGAAGCAGGUUAAUACCCCGCUGUUCUGACGGUACCCAAAGAAUAAGCAACGGCUAACUUCGUG
RNAcentral lists this ribosomal RNA (492 nucleotides) under uncultured bacterium. RNAcentral describes it as "partial 16S ribosomal RNA". It matches the Rfam family "Bacterial small subunit ribosomal RNA", at positions 29 to 507 of the family's 1533-position model. The record is from RNAcentral.